This 481-nucleotide ribosomal RNA is filed under the name uncultured bacterium. RNAcentral's name for it is "partial 16S ribosomal RNA". It matches the Rfam family "Bacterial small subunit ribosomal RNA", at positions 28 to 507 of the family's 1533-position model. The record is from RNAcentral.
GAUGAACGCUGGCGGCGUGCUUAACACAUGCAAGUCGAACGAAGCAUUUAGGACAGAUUACUUCGGUUUGAAGUUCUUUAUGACUGAGUGGCGGACGGGUGAGUAACGCGUGGGUAACCUGCCUUGUACUGGGGGAUAGCAGCUGGAAACGGCUGGUAAUACCGCAUAAGCGCACAAUGUUGCAUGACAUGGUGUGAAAAACUCCGGUGGUAUAAGAUGGACCCGCGUCUGAUUAGCUAGUUGGUGAGAUAACAGCCCACCAAGGCGACGAUCAGUAGCCGGUCUGAGAGGGUGACCGGCCACAUUGGGACUGAGACACGGCCCAGACUCCUACGGGAGGCAGCAGUGGGGAAUAUUGCACAAUGGAGGAAACUCUGAUGCAGCGACGCCGCGUGAGUGAAGAAGUAAUUAGUGAUGUAAAGCUCUAUCAGCAGGGAAGAUAGUGACGGUACCUGACGAAGAAGCUCCGGCUAAAUACGUG